This is a long non-coding RNA of Oxyura jamaicensis (ruddy duck), 144 nucleotides long. RefSeq lists it as uncharacterized. The transcript is spliced from 3 exons. NCBI's taxonomy places the organism in Eukaryota, Metazoa, Chordata, Aves, Anseriformes, Anatidae. The record is from RefSeq and is a predicted model, not a curated record.
UUUUUCUUUAAUCAGCUAAUCAUAACAUGAGACAAGUUCUUUACAAUCUGGAUAAAGAAAACCCUUCCCAUUUCUGUUUACCUUUACAGCAAUAUUUUGUUCUAGAUAUGACUGUUAUAAUCUCAGUAUAUUAACAACAGUGUA